Molecule: ribosomal RNA, 370 nt
Filed under: uncultured bacterium
Lineage: Bacteria
Description: bacterial SSU rRNA
Rfam family: Bacterial small subunit ribosomal RNA
Source: RNAcentral
UACGGAGGAUCCAAGCGUUAUCCGGAAUCAUUGGGUUUAAAGGGUCCGUAGGCGGGCCUGUAAGUCAGUGGUGAAAUCCGGCGGCUUAACCGUCGAACUGCCAUUGAUACUGCAGGCCUUGAAUUAUUGGGAAGUAACUAGAAUAUGUAGUGUAGCGGUGAAAUGCUUAGAUAUUACAUGGAAUACCGAUUGCGAAGGCAGGUUACUAUCAAUACAUUGACGCUGAUGGACGAAAGCGUGGGGAGCGAACAGGAUUAGAUACCCUGGUAGUCCACGCCGUAAACGAUGGAUACUAGCUGUCGGGAGCAAUCUCGGUGGCUAAGCGAAAGUGAUAAGUAUCCCACCUGGGGAGUACGAACGCAAGUUUGAA